UUGUCCGAUUGAUUGAAUUUUUUCAUUUUGGUAAAUAGAAAAUGGCGCAAAGUUUCGAUGUAUCAGACUUUUCUCUUUUCUCUUAUAUUGGAUAAUUCAGGGUUGGGCCGGGAAUAGGCCCAUCGCACAAAAUUUUGGGCUUUGAUUUUUAAUUCGAAUAUUCGAAUAUAUGUAAUGAAUCUCAUCCAUGGGUUCGAGUAUGAUACCGGGAACACAGGUAACCAGAUCAACCGAAUAUAUGUAAUGAAUCUCAUUCAGGUUUAUGGUCAGAUUCAUCUCGUUAUUGGUUCCGGGUGAAACUGAAGGUGGACGGUCCAGGGGUGUUGCCGGCGAAGGGGGAUGAGACGUGAGAGGAGCUAAAAACACAGAAAUUGGAAAGGGAGAAGAUCAAAAUCAAAUCUGCAAUUCCCAUUAUCCACUACCUCGAAAAGACAGAAAGGAAAACUUAUGAUUCACAUUCGGGCCUCGUACCUUAGCGCAGUCUGAUUGUGUCGUUGUUCUUCAUUGCUCUCUCGUCUGCAAGUAGGCAGUGAUACACAGAGCCCAUGGAGUUGAGGGAGGAAAAGAAGAAUGUGGUACUUGGACAUAUAACUUGUUAAGACUGAGCAUCAAAAGGGAAAUUCAUCCCCAUCUACCACAUUUUCCAUGUGAGGUUUGGACAGCUAGCUUCCCCGUGGAACUUUUGUAAUUUUCUUCUCUCCAUCCUCUCUGAAUUUUUCUACCAAAAAAAAAAAGUCCUCACUGAAUUCAAUUUCCA
Long non-coding RNA from Nelumbo nucifera (sacred lotus), 757 nucleotides. RefSeq lists it as uncharacterized. NCBI's taxonomy places the organism in Eukaryota, Viridiplantae, Streptophyta, Magnoliopsida, Proteales, Nelumbonaceae. The record is from RefSeq and is a predicted model, not a curated record.